UACGGAGGGGGCUAGCGUUGUUCGGAAUUACUGGGCGUAAAGGGCUCGUAGGUGGCCAACUAAGUCGGACGUGAAAUCCCUCGGCUUAACCGGGGAACUGCAUCCGAUACUGGAUGGCUUGAGUUCGGGAGAGGGAUGCGGAAUUCCAGGUGUAGCGGUGAAAUGCGUAGAUAUCUGGAGGAACACCGGUGGCGAAGGCGGCAUCCUGGGACCGACACUGACGCUGAGGAGCGAAAGCCAGGGGAGCAAACGGG
This 254-nucleotide ribosomal RNA is filed under the name uncultured bacterium. Its description in RNAcentral is "partial 16S ribosomal RNA". It matches the Rfam family "Bacterial small subunit ribosomal RNA", at positions 524 to 776 of the family's 1533-position model. The record is from RNAcentral.